Molecule: ribosomal RNA, 292 nt
Filed under: uncultured bacterium
Lineage: Bacteria
Description: partial 16S ribosomal RNA
Rfam family: Bacterial small subunit ribosomal RNA
Source: RNAcentral
GUGCCAGCAGCCGCGGUAAAACGUAGGAGGCGAGCGUUAUCCGGAUUUACUGGGUGUAAAGCGCGAGCAGGCGGUCGGGUAAGUGGUGUGUGAAAGCGCUUGGCUCAACCAGGCGAGGACAUGCCAAACUGCCGGACUGGAGGUAGGUAGAGGCGAGUGGAAUUCCGGGUGUAGUGGUGAAAUGCGUAGAGAUCCGGAGGAACACCAGUGGCGAAGGCGACUCGCUGGGCCUGACCUGACGCUCAGACGCGAAAGCAUGGGGAGCGAACGGGAUUAGAAACCCGUGUAGUCC